RNAcentral lists this ribosomal RNA (499 nucleotides) under Epicoccum nigrum. RNAcentral's name for it is "eukaryotic LSU rRNA". The stretch from base 125 to 278 matches the Rfam family "5.8S ribosomal RNA". The record is from RNAcentral. Lineage: Eukaryota; Fungi; Ascomycota; Dothideomycetes; Pleosporales; Didymellaceae.
AUGGCUUUCUCCUAUACAAAUUUCUUUUGAGUACCUUCGUUUCCUCGGCGGGUCCGCCCGCCGAUUGGACAACAUUCAAACCCUUUGCAGUUGCAAUCAGCGUCUGAAAAAACAUAAUAGUUACAACUUUCAACAACGGAUCUCUUGGUUCUGGCAUCGAUGAAGAACGCAGCGAAAUGCGAUAAGUAGUGUGAAUUGCAGAAUUCAGUGAAUCAUCGAAUCUUUGAACGCACAUUGCGCCCCUUGGUAUUCCAUGGGGCAUGCCUGUUCGAGCGUCAUUUGUACCUUCAAGCUCUGCUUGGUGUUGGGUGUUUGUCUCGCCUCUGCGUGUAGACUCGCCUUAAAACAAUUGGCAGCCGGCGUAUUGAUUUCGGAGCGCAGUACAUCUCGCGCUUUGCACUCAUAACGACGACGUCCAAAAGUACAUUUUUACACUCUUGACCUCGGAUCAGGUAGGGAUACCCGCUGAACUUAAGCAUAUCAAUAAGCGGAGGAAAAA